UACAGAGGUCCCAAGCGUUGUUCGGAUUCACUGGGCGUAAAGGGUGCGUAGGUGGUCGGGUAAGUCUGAUGUGAAAUCUCCGAGCUCAACUCGGAAAUGGCAUUGGAUACUAUUCGGCUAGAGAGUCGGAGGGGGGACUGGAAUUCUCGGUGUAGCAGUGAAAUGCGUAGAUAUCGAGAGGAACACCAGUGGCGAAGGCGAGUCCCUGGACGACUUCUGACACUGAGGCACGAAAGCUAGGGGAGCAAACAGGAUUAGAUACCCCCGUAGUCC
RNAcentral lists this ribosomal RNA (273 nucleotides) under uncultured bacterium. RNAcentral describes it as "partial 16S ribosomal RNA". It matches the Rfam family "Bacterial small subunit ribosomal RNA", at positions 524 to 796 of the family's 1533-position model. The record is from RNAcentral.